GGGGAUUUAGCUCAGUGGUAGAGCGUUUGCCUAGGAAGCGCAAGGCCCUGGGUUCGUACCCAGCUCCG
Molecule: transfer RNA, 68 nt
Filed under: Rattus norvegicus (Norway rat)
Lineage: Eukaryota; Metazoa; Chordata; Mammalia; Rodentia; Muridae
Rfam family: tRNA
About the family: Transfer RNA (tRNA) molecules are approximately 80 nucleotides in length.
Source: Rfam by way of RNAcentral